RNAcentral lists this small RNA (131 nucleotides) under Arabidopsis thaliana (thale cress). RNAcentral's name for it is "ATSL219660". The record is from RNAcentral. Lineage: Eukaryota; Viridiplantae; Streptophyta; Magnoliopsida; Brassicales; Brassicaceae.
UUUCAACUGAACCAAAAAGUAGAAAGUAAAACGGUCAUUAAAUAAAAAUAUUGGACAUACGAUCUUAUAAUGUAUAUGUUUAAAUUAUUUUGUAGUCAAAUAGUUUCAUAUAUCUUUACUUUUGCUUUAAA